This 1500-nucleotide unclassified non-coding RNA is filed under the name Hevea brasiliensis (rubber tree). Lineage: Eukaryota; Viridiplantae; Streptophyta; Magnoliopsida; Malpighiales; Euphorbiaceae. The record is from RNAcentral.
UUCUUUUAUUUCAAGCUCUCUUGAAUCUAUUCUAUUAGGCCUUUAUAUCUCUACGCCUCUCUGGCUCUCUCUCUUCUACUCAUCUGUGGGGUUACACAUCUUGGAUAGUGGUGAAGAGAUGGCUGUGGAACUCAUGAUGGGCUUUUCUGGUGAUAGUUUUCCAGCCAAGAUGCAAGAGAAUGCUGUGAGAGAAGCGGCUACUGCUGGGAUCCAGAACGUUGAGGAGGUCAUUAAGCUGCUCAAAAGAAAUCAGCUGCAGCAGCAACAAUACUACCCUGAGUUUUCUUCUUCAGCGGGUAAUAGUCCUCCAGGGUCGGAUAAUAUUAUGGCUGGUUACAGAUGCGGCUGUGAACAGUUUCAAGAAGGUUAUUUCUUUGCUUGGUCGCACCACGAGAACCGGCCAUGCUCGCUUUCGUAGAGCCCCUGUUUCUACGGCUUCUGUUACUCAAGAACAGCAGAAGCAACCACAACCACAAGAGCAGCAGCAACAAGUUCAAGAUCCAGGGCCUUCUCUUCGACCUAUCACAGAGCAAGUCUCUGCCUUUAGAGUUUACCAUCCGACUCCGGUUCAUCGGCUCCCUCCCUUGCCUAAUGGUCACCACCACCAGCAAAAGAGUCAUCUUUUAGUUACAAAGAAUGGGUUUUCAGAGAGGAACGAGAUGGCUUCUUCUACUAAUUUCUCUAAUUCACCUUCAAUCUCUGCCUCUACUUCUUUCAUGUCUUCCUUAACAGGGGAAACCGAUAGUGUACAGCGCUCCAUGUCCUCUGGGUUUCAAUUUGCCCAACCCUUACAUGUCUCAUCUGCUGGAAAACCUCCUCUGUCCUCAGCUUCCCUUAAAAGAAAGUGCAAUUCCAUGGACGAUGCUGCUCUAAAGUGCGGUUCCUCUUCAGGGCGAUGCCAUUGCUCCAAGAAAAGGAAAUCAAGAGUGAAGAGAGUGGUUAGAGCCCCUGCAAUUAGUAACAGGAUGGCUGAUAUUCCGCCUGAUGACUAUUCCUGGAGAAAGUAUGGUCAAAAGCCCAUCAAAGGGUCUCCUCAUCCAAGGGGAUAUUACAAGUGCAGUAGCAUGAGAGGGUGCCCGGCUCGGAAACAUGUGGAGAGAGCUCUGGAUGAUCCUAUGAUGCUGAUUAUCACAUACGAAGAUGAUCACAAUCACUCCCAAUCCAUCAAUGAUGCACCAGCCGUUCGGGUUCUGGAAUCAUCUUAAAAAGUCAACUCAUCUAGGGGCUCAGCAAAGUUCUUUCUUAUUUUAAAUCACAGCCGUUGAAGAGAAUAGUGAGCAGAUAGUCAACGCAGAAGGCCUAGAUGGUUACGUUAGCUGCCUAAGCAAGAUCGAAAAAUAUAGAACUCCUGUGCUUUGUCCUCUCUUUUCUCCCCAAAGACUGUUGAGAAAUAUGAAAAAAAAAAGGAUUAGGAGUAAGUAGAUAUUGUGGAUUUGGUGGGAGUUGAAUCAUGCAAGUAGUGGAGACUUUAUUUAUUUAUUUAUUUUUAUAGAAUUGUGC